AGAGUUUGAUCCUGGCUCAGAAUCAACGCUGGCGGCGUGCCUAACACAUGCAAGUCGAACGCGAAAGGGGCUUCGGCCCUGAGUAGAGUGGCGAACGGGUGAGUAACACGUGGGUGAUCUACCUUCGAGUGGGGGAUAACGUUCCGAAAGGAGCGCUAAUACCGCAUGACGUUCCGGGUUUGAAGACCUGGAAACCAAAGUCGGGGACCGCAAGGCCUGACGCUUGGAGAGGAGCCCGCGCCUGAUUAGCUAGUUGGUGAGGUAAUGGCUCACCAAGGCGACGAUCAGUAGCCGGCCUGAGAGGGCGGACGGCCACACUGGGACUGAGACACGGCCCAGACUCCUACGGGAGGCAGCAGUGGGGAAUUGUUCGCAAUGGGCGCAAGCCUGACGACGCAACGCCGCGUGGAGGAUGAAGGUCUUCGGAUUGUAAACUCCUGUUGACCGGGAAGAGCGGGCACCGACCUAACACGUCGGGGCAGUGACGGUACCGGUUGAAGAAGCCACGGCUAACUCUGUGCCAGCAGCCGCGGUAAUACAGAGGUGGCAAGCGUUGUUCGGAAUUACUGGGCGUAAAGGGCGCGUAGGCGGCCUUCUAAGUCGGACGUGAAAUCCCCAGGCUUAACUUGGGAACUGCGUCUGAUACUGGAAGGCUUGAGUGCGGGAGAGGGAUGUGGAAUUCCAGGUGUAGCGGUGAAAUGCGUAGAUAUCUG
Molecule: ribosomal RNA, 713 nt
Filed under: uncultured Acidobacteriota bacterium
Lineage: Bacteria; Pseudomonadati; Acidobacteriota
Description: bacterial SSU rRNA
Rfam family: Bacterial small subunit ribosomal RNA
Source: RNAcentral